RNAcentral lists this long non-coding RNA (632 nucleotides) under Physcomitrium patens. RNAcentral's name for it is "long non-coding RNA (PPAT_LNC002926)". Lineage: Eukaryota; Viridiplantae; Streptophyta; Bryopsida; Funariales; Funariaceae. The record is from RNAcentral.
AUAAUUGAAAUUUUAAUGAAUCUUAAUCAAAUCCUAAAUCAAAUUCUAAUCAAAUUUUAAAUCUUAAAUCAAUCUAAAUAAAAUAUUGAUGAAAUCCUAAUCAAACUUUAGAUAAAUCCUAAUUGAAUCUUAAUCAAAUAUUAAUCAAAUCUUAAUCAAAUGAAAACAAAAUUCUAAAUCUUAAUCAAAUCCUAAAUAAAUCCUAAUCAAAUCGUAGAUCCUAAACUAAUCUUAAUCAAUUUAUAAUCAAAUCUUAAAUAUUAAAUGAAAUUCUUAAUAAUUCUACAAUGGAUUAAAAAUUUAAUAAUUAAUGAUUAAAUCAUUUAUUUUGAUUCAAACUUUGUAUACCUUAAAACAUAUAAGUAUAAAAUAAGCACAAAAAAUUUAAAAAAAAAUUCUUAUACCAAUUAAAUAAUCCUAAACUUCCACUUAAGAAUCAGUCGAAUUCCUUCUUCAACCUUAAUGUUGAUAUUUCAAAGCCAUAAUGUCUUAAUUUUAUUAUUUAAUUCAUUUCAAAUUUUUCUAAAUUAUUCAAAAUCAAGGUAGCUACCUUUGAAAAAAAUUGUAUUUCAAUUCAAUUGGCGGAUUAACAAAUAUCUUAGAAAUCCUCACCAAUCCUUUAAAUUCCAAUU